AGCUUUGCGCAGUGGCAGUAUCGUAGCCGAUGAGGUUUACCUGAGGCGUGAUUAUUGCUUAUUGAAAACUUUUCUCAAUACCCCACUAUGAUGACUUGAAAAAUAAGUGUGAUUCUGAAAGUUUUUUUUUAAA
This is a small nuclear RNA of Mobula hypostoma (lesser devil ray), 133 nucleotides long. RefSeq annotates it as U4 spliceosomal RNA. The transcript has a single exon. Lineage: Eukaryota; Metazoa; Chordata; Chondrichthyes; Myliobatiformes; Myliobatidae. The record is from RefSeq and is a predicted model, not a curated record.